This 924-nucleotide ribosomal RNA is filed under the name Nabicula subcoleoptrata. RNAcentral's name for it is "SSU rRNA". It matches the Rfam family "Eukaryotic small subunit ribosomal RNA", at positions 425 to 1272 of the family's 1831-position model. Lineage: Eukaryota; Metazoa; Arthropoda; Insecta; Hemiptera; Nabidae. The record is from RNAcentral.
GCAGCAGGCACGCAAAUUACCCACUCCCGGCACGGGGAGGUAGUGACAAAAAAUAACGAUACGGGACUCUUUUGAGGCCUCGUAAUCGGAAUGAGUACACUUUAAAUCCUUUAACAAGGAUCCAUUGGAGGGCAAGUCUGGUGCCAGCAGCCGCGGUAAUUCCAGCUCCAAUAGCGUAUAUUAAAGUUGUUGCGGUUAAAAAGCUCGUAGUUGGUUCUGCGUGCCACGCUGUCGGUACACCGUUUGUCGGUGCAACUGGCAUGUCGUGGCAUGUCCUGUCGGUGGUGACCGGGGUUCCGGGUACUGAAGUUUUCUGAUGGACCCGAUUGGAUUUCCGGUUGCCGACUAUAUCCUACCGCGGUGCUCUUAGUUGAGUGUCGAGGUAGGCCGACACGUUCACUUUGAACAAAUUAGAGUGCUUAAAGCAGGCCAAAAUCUCCGCCUGAAUAGUGGUGCAUGGAAUGAUAGAACAGGACCUUGGUUCUAUUUUAUUGGUUUUCGGAACACAAGGUAAUGAUCAAUGUGGACAGGCGGGGGCAUUCGUAUUGCGACGUUAGAGGUGAAAUUCUUGGAUCGUCGCAAGACGCACUAGAGCGAAAGCAUUUGCCAAGUAUGUCUUAAUUGAUCAAGAACGAAAGUUAGAGGUUCGAAGGCGAUCAGAUACCGCCCUAGUUCUAACCAUAAACGAUGCCAGCCAGCGAUCCGCCGAUGUUCCUCCGAUGACUCGGCGGGGAGCUUUCCCCGGGAAACCAAAGCUUUUGGGUUCCGGGGGAAGUAUGGUUGCAAAGCUGAAACUUAAAGGAAUUGACGGAAGGGCACCACCAGGAGUGGAGCCUGCGGCUUAAUUUGACUCAACACGGGAAACCUCACCAGGUCAGGACAUUGGAAGGAUUGACAGAUUGAUAGCUCUUUCUUGAUUCAGUG